This 2275-nucleotide long non-coding RNA is filed under the name Homo sapiens (human). Its description in RNAcentral is "HSALNT0119247". Lineage: Eukaryota; Metazoa; Chordata; Mammalia; Primates; Hominidae. The record is from RNAcentral.
CACCCACAGAACUUUCCACAAGGCAGUUGCUAUCCUGCUGCCCUCUGUUUCAGGCAAAGGCUCAGAAACAAGUGGUAAAAUAACAGAAUUUUGGAAAUCAUAAACAUUUGCAACUUACAAAAAAACUUUGAGGACGAUGAUAUCUACUUACCGCUUAGCAGAUGAGAAAACGGAGACACAGAUAAAUUAAAUGUGUUGCUCUGAGUCCUAAGGCUACUAAGGGGCCACUCAGCCCAAAACUUGGCUUUCAAUUCCACUCUGGGACUCUGUACACUGUUCUUGUUGCUAUUAUACUGCCCAGAGAAUGGGAUGUUUCUGUUUAUUAAAUAAAAGUCCUUAAGUAUACAAACAUAGAAGGACUACAUUCCUAAUUCGCAAAAAGGGGGAACAAAGUUACAUAGAAUCCUAAAACUACCCUGAACAAAGCUGAAGUUGCUAGGAUCUUACAGAAGAUUCAUCCAGGUCCAGCCUUCGAGGUGAUUACAGGUCUCCAGUAGUCUGUCUACAUCUUUCUCAGGUGAGAGGAGAUCUGAGUAAACAUGGCAUCUCUUCCUUGGAUUUACCUGUUACUUCAGCCCUGCUGGACUCUCAUAUAGGACACGUGGAAAAUGAAGAAAAAAAUCAGAAGAGAACCUUUACUAACAUCUUAGUCAAGACUUUAGAAGAGGAGCAGCACUUCUUUGAUCACCCUGAAAGAAGCCUUUCCCAUUUGAAGCAGAAACCUAAGGAGUUUUAACACAUGAAGGCCUCCAGUACCCCAGAUGCCAUGAGGUUGGAGGGGUCUGGUAGACAUUGAGGCACCCAGCAGAUGCCGAACCAGGACUGGAAAGCCAACUUGAUCAUCAGUGUGUGUUGGGCAGUCUGGGGGAGGGAGUUCCCAGGAAAACCAGAGGGAUUCUAUCCAGAGAGCUGAGCUCUUCUAUCAGCAAGCAGGGAUGUGGCCAAGGAAAUUAUUACCAUUUAUGUGACUGCAUCUGUCACUAUGUGCCAGUGAUGCAUGGGGAAAAACUGAAAAUACAAAAACAUAUUGUUAUGUCAUACCAUUAGUCCAUUUUUAAUUGUUUUUUAAAAAUUCAUGUUUUGUACUCUCAAAGACUGAAAAUUUCUGUGAAAUAGGAUGUGAAAAUUUUCAAAUGAUGUUGCCACAUCAUUUUUUUUCUUUUCUCAAAAAUAAAAAAGGAUGUGAGAAGUCUGGCCAACACACAUGUUGGACAUAAAAUGAGAAUUCUUUUUAAAGCCAGAAAUACCUAUUCAUUUCAUUCACACAUUCACUAAGCUACUAAAUCUGAUAGCAGUUCUGAAGGAUACUAAUUAAUUAUGGUUUUAAUAAAGAAAACAAUUCAAUAAACACACACACACACAACAUACACAUGGAUUGUUGAAGAAGUACUGAAACAAAUUUGAAAAACAGGCUUUCAAAUGUUUAUUUUCUGGUUUUGUUUUUCUCUUUUGUGGCAGUAUAGUAUAAAGGAAAAAUCACAAGCCCUUCAAAUCUAACAAUUCCUGAUCCUUCGGCUUAACUGGUUGUAAUCCUUAGAAAACUGACCUCAUUUGUAAAAUGUUACAGAACAAAAUUAGAUAAUCCUCAUGUGGCACCUAGCUCAGUGCCUGUUACAUUAAGCAGAAAAUGCUGUUUUUCCACCUUCUCAAUUCCCUGUCCCCAUUCUUCCCAAGCAUACCUUUCCAUUCCAAGGAUCCACAAACAAAGCAGCAAAAUGGUUAAGAAACAGCAAAAUGGUUAAGAAAUGGGUCUGUAAGCUGUUUCUGACAAGUUAUGCUACAUUCUCAAGGCUUCUGUUUUCUCAUCUAUAAAAUGGGGAUGACUGCACUUUCCACGCAGAUUUUUAUGAGCGGUAAAUGGGUUAAGUCAUGUGAAGUUCUGAGAAGUGUGAAAGUUCUAUGGGAACUUUUUUGUCAUUCCUAUCUUUAAGACAUAGAAGAGUACCUGGAACAAGUAGGUACAAAAUAAAUAUUUCUAAUCAACGAAUGAACGCUGUGACAUGCUUGCUUCUCUUUGUCUAAUACAAACUAUCCCUUUGUAGACUGUGGGACCUGUGUGGGUGUGUGCAGGGCAGAGGUUUAGAGGCUGAACCUAAAUGGAAAUAAGGAAGCCUCCCCGUGACUUCUCAUGACUCAAACUGUAUUUUCUGUGACCCACUAUCACAUUCCUCCAUAGUAGAUAUGCCUGCCCUGUCUUGCACAGGCACAGAUCUGGGUUCAAUGCUUGAGCACUGAUCUCUGUGCCAGUGUGUCUCCAUGCUGCCUUCUGUCCAGG